UAGCGAUAAAAAGGGGGAACAAUUGG
Molecule: non-coding RNA, 26 nt
Filed under: Homo sapiens (human)
Lineage: Eukaryota; Metazoa; Chordata; Mammalia; Primates; Hominidae
Source: RNAcentral